GGGGGCAGCCGACUCUAAGGUGCAUGUGCACGACCUGACAGUAAAGGAGACCAUCCACAUGUUUGGAGACCACACAAACCGGGUGAAGCGCAUCGCCACAGCGCCCAUGUGGCCCAACACAUUCUGGAGUGCUGCUGAGGAUGGGCUUAUCCGCCAGUAUGACCUUCGAGAGAACAGCAAACACUCGGAGGUGCUGAUUGACCUGACAGAGUACUGUGGCCAGCUGGUGGAGGCCAAGUGCCUCACUGUCAACCCCCAGGACAACAACUGCCUGGCAGUUGGGGCCAGCGGGCCCUUCGUGAGGCUCUAUGACAUCCGCAUGAUCCACAACCACAGAAAGAGCAUGAAGCAGAGCCCUUCAGCGGGUGUGCACACCUUCUGUGACCGGCAGAAACCCCUUCCGGAUGGUGCAGCCCAGUAUUACGUAGCAGGUCACCUGCCAGUGAAGCUUCCUGACUACAACAACCGUUUGAGAGUGCUGGUUGCCACCUAUGUGACCUUCAGCCCCAAUGGCACAGAGCUACUAGUCAACAUGGGGGGGGAACAGGUCUAUUUGUUUGACUUGACUUACAAGCAGCGGCCGUACACCUUCCUCUUGCCUAGAAAAUGCCACUCCUCGGGGGAAGUCCAGAAUGGCAAGAUGUCCACCAACGGUGUGUCCAACGGUGUGUCCAAUGGCCUGCACCUUCAUAGCAAUGGCUUCCGGCUGCCGGAGAGUAGGGGACAUGUCAGCCCCCAAGUAGAGCUACCACCAUACCUGGAGCGUGUGAAACAGCAAGCCAAUGAGGCUUUUGCCUGCCAGCAGUGGACCCAAGCCAUUCAGCUUUACAGCAAGGCUGUGCAGAGGGCCCCUCACAAUGCCAUGCUUUAUGGAAACCGAGCAGCAGCCUACAUGAAGCGCAAGUGGGAUGGUGACCACUAUGAUGCCCUGAGGGACUGCCUCAAGGCCAUCUCCCUAAACCCAUGCCACCUGAAGGCACACUUUCGCCUGGCCCGCUGCCUCUUUGAGCUCAAGUAUGUGGCUGAAGCCCUGGAGUGCCUGGACGACUUCAAAGGGAAAUUUCCGGAGCAGGCCCACAGCAGCGCUUGUGAUGCAUUGGGCCGCGACAUCACAGCUGCCCUCUUCUCUAAAAAUGAUGGUGAGGAGAAGAAGGGACCUGGUGGCGGCGCCCCAGUCCGCCUCCGCAGCACGAGCCGCAAGGACUCCAUCUCAGAGGAUGAAAUGGUGCUGCGGGAGCGAAGCUACGACUAUCAGUUCCGCUACUGCGGCCACUGCAACACCACCACGGAUAUCAAAGAGGCCAAUUUCUUUGGCAGGUCCGAGGCCCUGAAGAGGAGGGUGCAGCCCAGUUGGCAGCGGGAGGUUGAGUGGGGAGUGUUGGGGCAUAAUGGUUUCAGAGAAGAAUCUCAAAUCCCUGCUCUGCCUCUGUACCCUUGGGCAAAUGGCUUCACCUUUGUCAGCCUCUAAAGUUUUUUAAUCUAUGAAAUGACCAACCUGCCAUGCCCAUUUAUGAGGCCAUAACAAGGACUAAUAAGAUAACCCAAGUAGAGCCUCCAGCGCAGUGCCUGAACUACUCCUUCAUCCCCCACCUCCUUCUCCCUCUGUCUGCAUGUGCCAGAGCUUGGUUUCUUUAUCUGCAUUCAAGGAACCUCCCUCUGCUUGAGAGUAUGAGGCAGCAGCCCUCCAAGGCUGGGAAUCUUGGCACAUCUCUUUUGUGCUCAAAACUGUGCCCUGUGUACUAAGGGACAAACUCUGUGUUUCAGACACCAUCAUCCCCACCCCUCAUUUGUAGAUGUACUUUCUUUGGGUAGGUGAGACACAUGAACAUGAAUCAAGAAUCUCUCCAUAGGCCAGGCACAGUGACUCAUGCCUGUAAUCCCAGCACUUGGGGAGGCUGAAGCAGGAGGAUCGCUUGAGCCCAGGAGUUUGAGACCAGCCUGGACAGCAUAGACCCCCAUCUCUACAAAAAAUGUUUUAAAUUACCUGGGUGUGGUGACAUGCACCUGUAGUCCCAGCUAUUCAGGAGGUUGACAUUGGAGGACCAGUUAAGGCCACAGUGAGCCAUGAUCAUGCCACUGUACUCCAGCUUGGGUGACAGAAUGAGACCCUGUCUCUAAGAAAAAAAAAUCCAUCAAGAUGCCCUCUAAAUGUCAGUGGUGUGUGAGGGGCACGGGGAGUCUGGAUGCCAGAAGCCUGGAACUGCUCAGGGGAGGCUUAAAACAGGGUAUUUUAGAGACCCAAGAGAUGAUGUAAGAUGAUCCUGGCCCAAGGAGAUAAUAAUGAACUAUAGGAGAGACUGUCUUGGAGAAAUCCAGGUAGUCGCUGGCCCUAGGUUUAAGAGAACAGUGACCAGGGCUAUAUACCUGGAGGAAUUCUGGGUCAAGUGCACACCCCAGCGUGUGGGGGACUGAGUGGCUGCAGACUUCCUUGCUCCCCCUUUACCUAGGCCAUGCAGCCUCUACUUGAGGCUGUAGGGCAGUACCCCACCUGACCUCCCUGCCCUUUGCCCCCCGCCAGCAACGCUCAGUAUAUCGUCAGUGGCUCUGACGAUGGCUCCUUCUUCAUCUGGGAAAAGGAGACCACCAACCUGGUCCGUGUGCUCCAAGGGGAUGAGUCCAUUGUCAACUGCCUGCAGCCACACCCCAGCUACUGCUUCCUGGCCACCAGUGGCAUCGAUCCUGUUGUGCGGCUCUGGAACCCCCGACCAGAGAGUGAAGACCUCACAGGCCGAGUCGUGGAAGAUAUGGAGGGUGCUUCACAGGCCAACCAGCGGCGCAUGAAUGCAGACCCGUUGGAGGUGAUGCUGCUCAACAUGGGCUACCGGAUCACGGGCCUGAGCAGUGGGGGUGCCGGGGCCUCUGAUGAUGAGGACAGCUCUGAGGGCCAGGUGCAGUGCCGGCCCAGCUAGACCCUCCAGCCCUGGUCCCCAGCCCCUGCUACUGGCUGGACCCUCUGCCCUGGGCAGGAGGUCAGGGGAUUCUGUUUUGGUUUGUCUUCCCCACCACCCUUUUUUUUCAUUUCCCCUGUUUUGUUUGUUAGUUUGGCGUUAGGGGUGGAGGUUGCUACAACUUGCUGGCUUUCGGACUCUGGGCUGAUUGUCCCCUGACUAUCCCCAGCCCUGAAAAAAAGAGCAGGAGGGGACACCCCUCCAUAUGCACCCCCCAUCUCCUGCUUUCAUGUCCCUGGAGGGCUCUGGCCUGCCUCAAAACCCCUUCUGCCUCAGGUGGGGAGGAACAAGCUGAACUGUCUUCAGGGACUGUCCUGCCCUUUAGCUGGCAGCAGGAGGAGGAGUGGGAUUCCCAAUUGGUAAGGGCUCGCCUUGGCCUGUUGCCACUCUUGCUCCCUAGCCUGCAAGGCUAGCUCCCCUGUGGUCUUCAGGAAAGGUUUUGAAAAAGGAUGGGUCCCACCCUCCCUCCAGAGCCACCAGUGUUAGAGCGGAACCCAAAGGAAGGAUGGGAGCCCUGGAGUGGGCAAGACCAGGCCACCUGCUGAGGUCGCUGUGGAGCACCCUCGCUCCUCUCCUGGCUACUAGCUCUGGCCCUGCACCUACUCUCACUGGCCACCUCUGGAGGCUCUGCCUUUCCCAAGGGCCCUGGCAGAGGGUGGGGCACUGCACCUUACCCCACCCAUCCAUGCCAGCACUUCUGCACUACGGCCGUUCUCCUCUUGGGCGCUCCUCAGCCUCACUGUGACCUUUCUGCCAGAGCUCCCAGCCAGGCCUACUCUGCUGAGGUGGCGCUUCCUGCUAAGGGCCCUUCUCUGCCCUUUCUGCCCUCCUUCCCAUCCCACAUGCUGAGCCGCCACAAAGACCAAAGAAGUGAUGGCUUUUCUCUGUCCCCUGCUGCUCUGAGGGGAGAGGGGUGGGUCUCCUGAGCCACUCAGAUGGGAAAGUCCCUUACUCGGCCCCUCCCUCCCCAGCAGCCCCAAGCUUUACACUGGAUGCAGCGAUCAACCCACCACUCACCAGGCCUCUCCUCCCCUCUGCCCCCGGCUCUUAGCUCCAGCUGCUCCAGGUAGUUGGUUCAUCCUUCCCCCUCUCUCCCUCCCUGCUUCCCCUCAGUGCUUACUUGGCUCCAGCCCUCCAGCUGCAGCCCCUGGGGAAAAGCAGCCUCCCUUCUCCUCUCCCUCCACUCCCUCGCUCCCUCCCUCAGCCCCUGUCUCUGCCAGGUGCCUCCUCUCAGUCAGGCUUCAGAGCAGCCCUGGAGACAGGAGGGCCAUGUUAAAAGCUUUUUCACAGUUUUAAGAAGACAAGAGGAGGGUGAGGAUAGUGGUGGGGGGUCUGGCACCAUCUCAUUGCUUUAAUCCCAGCAACACAGGUGGCAGCUUCUCCCCCUUCCUUCCCACCCCAGUCCCUCUUCCCACCCCUCUCUUCUAGCUUGGUAAUGAAGUAUAUUUAUUGGUGAAGGAAACAGCUGCUGCUGCUUCUCCUGCUGCUGGGACCUGCUCCCCUGUCUCUUCUCCGUGACCUUUCUCUAGCCAGGGAGAAGGGAGAGCAGGAGUAUUGGGGCUGGGCCCUGGGGCCCAAGGACCAGCUGGGUCCCCUUUGCUUUCUUGUGUUCCAGCCACCUGCCAUUUCCUCCCUGCCUCCCACCCUCCCUCCCUGCCCCCUGUCCUGCUUCCCACCCCCUGCCUGCCCAGCCUGGGCCCUGCAGUGUGGAGAGACACAUAAGCCUUACUGUCCUCUGGGGGCAGGAGCCGAGCCUUUUUGUUGCUCCGCUCCCAGGAGAGUGAGGGUGACGCAAUUGAUUAAAACCAUUUUGUUCUAGGUGUGGCUGGUGGCAUUUGUGGGGUGCAGAUGGGUCUUGGAACCAAAGUGAGGGCACCUGGUCCCUCACCUCUGUAGCUCUAUGACUUAGUAACCACACCUCUACUGGACAGAAUGAGGCCUGCCUUGAAGGGUCACCGUGAGCAGCGGCCACCCAGCCCAGCAGGGCUGAGUGCAGAGCCCAGCUCUCAUGGCUGUGAUUUGUAAUCAUCAGCCUUCACUCUCUGGCUGUUUUCUCAUCAGUAAAAUAAGGGACUUGGAAUCUUAGUGGUUUUUCAAACCAUUUUACAUUGUGACCCAAUAUACACAUGAUUACUUGUAGAUAUGUGUGUGUGUAUAUAUAUAUAUAAAGAAAAUGAACAAAAGUUUUACACAAUAA
Molecule: small RNA, 5145 nt
Filed under: Pan troglodytes (chimpanzee)
Lineage: Eukaryota; Metazoa; Chordata; Mammalia; Primates; Hominidae
Description: retained intron
Source: RNAcentral